AAAACAGAAUUGAUAUUGCUUUUGAGAUGACUCAUCGUCAAAGAUUGUAAGCAGUGGAGUUCAAUGUAAUGAACAUUGGUGCGCUACAAAUGCAAAAGAAGUGUGUUAAAAGAAGUAAAAUCAAUGGACUCUGGCUGCAAAUGGAGUAAUUGGGAAAAAAUUGCACGUUAUGUCAGCAGAUAAUGGACAACAAACAUGAUGGCGAUACAAGUGAAAUUGAAGG
Molecule: long non-coding RNA, 223 nt
Organism: Xenia sp. Carnegie-2017
Lineage: Eukaryota; Metazoa; Cnidaria; Anthozoa; Malacalcyonacea; Xeniidae
Exons: 3
Source: RefSeq, a predicted model, not a curated record